This 490-nucleotide ribosomal RNA is filed under the name Neoehrlichia mikurensis. RNAcentral's name for it is "bacterial SSU rRNA". It matches the Rfam family "Bacterial small subunit ribosomal RNA", at positions 139 to 662 of the family's 1533-position model. The record is from RNAcentral. Lineage: Bacteria; Pseudomonadati; Pseudomonadota; Alphaproteobacteria; Rickettsiales; Anaplasmataceae.
UGGAAUAGCUGUUAGAAAUGACAGGUAAUACCGUAUAAUCCCUGCGGGGGAAAGAUUUAUCGCUAUUAGAUGAGCCUAUGUUAGAUUAGCUAGUUGGUAAGGUAAUGGCUUACCAAGGCUAUGAUCUAUAGCUGGUCUGAGAGGACGAUCAGCCACACUGGAACUGAGAUACGGUCCAGACUCCUACGGGAGGCAGCAGUGGGGAAUAUUGGACAAUGGGCGCAAGCCUGAUCCAGCUAUGCCGCAUGAGUGAAGAAGGCCUUAGGGUUGUAAAACUCUUUCAGCAGGGAAGAUAAUGACGGUACCUGCAGAAGAAGUCCCGGCAAACUCCGUGCCAGCAGCCGCGGUAAUACGGAGGGGGCAAGCGUUGUUCGGAAUUAUUGGGCGUAAAGGGCAUGUAGGCGGUUUAAUAAGUUAAAAGUGAAAUACCAGGGCUUAACCUUGGAGCUGCUUUUAAUACUAUUUAAACUAGAGAUCGAGAGAGGAUAGA